GACGAACGCUGGCGGCGUGCCUAAUACAUGCAAGUUGAGCGCUGAAGGUUGGUACUUGUACCAACUGGAUGAGCAGCGAACGGGUGAGUAACGCGUGGGGAAUCUGCCUUUGAGCGGGGGACAACAUUUGGAAACGAAUGCUAAUACCGCAUAAAAACUUUAAACACAAGUUUUAAGUUUGAAAGAUGCAAUUGCAUCACUCAAAGAUGAUCCCGCGUUGUAUUAGCUAGUUGGUGAGGUAAAGGCUCACCAAGGCGAUGAUACAUAGCCGACCUGAGAGGGGGAUCGGCCACAUUGGGACUGAGACACGGCCCAAACUCCUACGGGGGGCAGCAGUAGGGAAUCUUCGGCAAUGGACGGAAGUCUGACCGGGCAACGCCGCGUGAGUGAAGAAGGUUUUCGGAUCGUAAAACUCUGUUGGUAGAGAAGAACGUUGGUGAGAGUGGAAAGCUCAUCAAGUGACGGUAACUACCCAGAAAGGGACGGCUAACUACGUG
Molecule: ribosomal RNA, 497 nt
Filed under: uncultured bacterium
Lineage: Bacteria
Description: partial 16S ribosomal RNA
Rfam family: Bacterial small subunit ribosomal RNA
Source: RNAcentral